GUGAGUAACACGUGGAUAACCUACCUAUAAGACUGGGAUAACUUCGGGAAACCGGAGCUAAUACCGGAUAAUAUAUUGAACCGCAUGGUUCAAUAGUGAAAGACGGUUUUGCUGUCACUUAUAGAUGGAUCCGCGCCGCAUUAGCUAGUUGGUAAGGUAACGGCUUACCAAGGCAACGAUGCGUAGCCGACCUGAGAGGGUGAUUGGCCACACUGGAACUGAGACACGGUCCAG
Molecule: ribosomal RNA, 234 nt
Filed under: uncultured Staphylococcus sp.
Lineage: Bacteria; Bacillati; Bacillota; Bacilli; Caryophanales; Staphylococcaceae
Description: partial 16S ribosomal RNA
Rfam family: Bacterial small subunit ribosomal RNA
Source: RNAcentral